GAUCCUGGCUCAGGAUGAACGCUAGCGGCAGGCUUAACACAUGCAAGUCGAGGGGCAGCAUAAUGGAUAGCAAUAUCUAUGGUGGCGACCGGCGCACGGGUGCGUAACGCGUAUGCAACCUACCUUUAACGAGGGGGAUAACACUGAGAAAUUGGUACUAACUACCCCAUAAUAUCAUAGAAGGCAUCUUUUUAUAGGUUUGAAAAUUUCCGAUGGUUAGGAGAUGGGCAUGCGUUGUAUUAG
RNAcentral lists this ribosomal RNA (243 nucleotides) under uncultured bacterium. Its description in RNAcentral is "partial 16S ribosomal RNA". It matches the Rfam family "Bacterial small subunit ribosomal RNA", at positions 15 to 244 of the family's 1533-position model. The record is from RNAcentral.